CGUUUAACAUUCGAUAGAAUAUGGUUUGAUAAAGAUCAUUUUACAUUAUCUUAAAUAACGUAACGAUUCGAUUGUAAUCGCGGUUUGCAGUUUUACUUAUCAUGAAAACUGACUGUUAAGAAUUUGACAAAUUUGAAAGCGACUGGCGACACAGUCGAUACGUGUCAUCGAUUGCAUCAUCUUAAAAAGAUGGCUGUUCCUUUCUGCUUGGAAACAGUUAUGCGGAAAUACAUCAAUAGGUUGUUAAGCUAUUUCAUACAUUAUUUACGUUAAACAUUUAAAAUACUUUCAAUAGAAACAUCAUAAUUCGAAUAAUCUGUGAUUAAAUCUCGAUUAUUGAUUAGAAAAUAAAAUUUAUAUAAAUAGAAAUGUUCUAAGUAAAUGCAAGUUGAAAUUAUUUGAACAGUGUCUGCGCUACCAUCUACCGACAAUUAGGAGAAUACAUAGAAAUUGAAAAACGUGGGAGGGUAAAACGUUUAGAAUUACUGCAAAAAGAUGCUGGAAAUAUCAAAUGAUCAUCGGUAAAUCAAUUUUCAAUUCAAGAAUAGCAGGUAUGAGAAUUUUAAACACGGACGUCUGCAUACCACGCUGAAUCAUUCGGCAAUCCUCAGGACAAGUCCGUGCAGGCAGUGACCUGUAGUCACUGUUCAAUGCAAAGUGUUUUAUAUUUUGAUAAUAAGAUAGAG
Molecule: non-coding RNA, 686 nt
Organism: Osmia lignaria (orchard mason bee)
Lineage: Eukaryota; Metazoa; Arthropoda; Insecta; Hymenoptera; Megachilidae
Source: RefSeq, a predicted model, not a curated record